CUCGACUCUUCAGGACCCAGCUCUAGAAGCUUGUCUAGGCUGCCGCCACCCUGGCGUCUGGAGACGCUAACCCCACCAGAACCCCUUCCCCAGAGGGGCGUGUGUGAGGCCAGGAGGUGGGACAGGGGCGAGGCGAGGCUCCCACUUCCUUAACGCUGGGGCUUGGAGAUGAACGGGGAGGUGGAAAACCAGCCACCCAGCCCCCACCCCGGAAAACCUAUUCGUGAAACUGACUUGCUGCGUGACCCCGAUAUCAAUGCCGCGCAGAGCAGGGCUGCUGGCUCUCCGCCGCACCCGACACUCCACGUGCGUCCGGGGGCCCGGCUGGCAGGGAGCGCUGGAGGUCCCCGAGAGUCUGGAACAGCUUACCACCUUCCCCGAGAUAAAGUUAGGGGGGCCCCUCCCUCUAGGAGCAGUUGGCCUUAGCGCUUUGGCUGUAGCCUAACCGGACUGGAGUAAAAUAAAUAGAUUAAAACUAGGUUUCGGGGUGAGGAUCCGAAUGUCUGGGACUAAAACGACACCAAGUUGGGAGGUGGUUAGGAAAAAAACUUACUGAUUUGUGUUUGGGGGAGUGGCGGCUCUGGUUUCUCUUGCUUCCAAUCCCACCAAGGGGAGCGGAGGAAUGUGCCGCUCACGUCUUCUGAGGACACAUCCAUAUUUAUAAUUUAUUUUUAGGAGAAGUUGUGAAACAGGGAGGGGUUAAAAUGGAGAGAAAAGGUGUGCUUGGGAUGGUGUCCUCUUGGGAACCCGAAGGCUAAUUGAGCUAUUAAAGAUGGAAAUAAUUUCUCCCAAUCUGGACUGAGCAGCAAAUUUGACUUUAAUGAGCGACAAUUAAGGGCAUAAAUGGAACUUUAUUUAGCUGGAGGUGGGAUGGGGUGAGGUAUUCGAGGCCCCUCAAACACUGGAUUUAUGCUUGAUAAAGAACCUUGCGGCAGCCCUGGUAUUUACUGGAAUGUUUUCAGGCCUGAUUGUGUGGGACCGAUGGCGGGGGUAGAUACAGUAUCCCUCCCUCCGCAGCGACCCCCUGGCUUUGGGGGAGAUGAACCUCCUUCCAGCAGAAAGAGGCAGGCAUUUUUAGUAACUCUGCCUUCUUUCGAACCCUUUCUCUAAGGCUAGCAAGGCUGCUGGGACCUGCAAACCCCAAAGGGGCUCACUUCAGAAAAGAGGCUCCCAAGGCUGUGGGCCCAGGACCGGGGUUUUGAGGGCGAGAUGAGUUUGUGUUUUAUCCAACUGGCCCACAAAGUCCCGCUUUUGGGGUCAUCCUAACUGCAAAGGAUUCAGGCCCUGGCAGCCGCUGGAGGGUGAGGGCCGACACCCCCAGGCUAUCGGUCUGAAACUAAAACCCCCCUGCAGAGAAAGAAGGCUGGCCCAUUUGGUCAAAGGGAAAGGCUGUUUUAGGGUGGGAGGGUAUUCUUAUCCAGCUCUGUUCUCAGUACAAACCUGCAGUGGCCCCCUCCAUGAGAGGCAAAAGGUAGCAGAAAGGGGACAUACAGGCUCUACACACAUCCCAAGAGGCUUCAUGAGGCCUUUGGGUGGACAAGACCAGUAGGAAAUGGUCGACUCUGGACUGUGUUUCUUAGCUUGAAACCCCUAAAUACCACUGAGAUAAACCAUAAUGCUAAGAGACUUCGAUUUACCUGUCAAAGGAGCAAGCAGUCAGCUGUUUGCUUCCACCUGGAUCCACGAAUUUGUAAUUCUCUGCUACUCCAUGUUGAGCAAAGCAUUUGUAAGAAAAUCUGGACAAUGAGUUGAGGAGGCAUCUAUAAGGCAGAGCAAAUGUCCCUCUCAGGAUGUUCACCUUAGUGUUCACACACACCUCUGCCCUCUGUUGGGUAAGCACAGCACACCAUAUAUGCAUCUACACACCCUGAGCUAUUUGCAAACCUGAAUUUAAAUUAAGCAUUCACAGCGGGGAAUAGAAUGCCUCAAUAGCUUUUGAACUGAGCCCCUGAUAGCAGAUUGAGUGAUUUGCUCCUUGUGGCACAGGGACACACAGAUGACAUUUGUGCUGCCUUGGCAGACAAGAAACGUUCUUUCCUUCCAGCGUUCCUUGUUUUUCUUACGAGGUUCGACAAGUCCACACCAUUUCCAGGAGUCCGUGGUGGUGCUGUGGCUCACCCGUGGGUGAUGGCCACAUGUGAGCUGUGGUGGUGCUUUGCUCACUUGCUACCUUGAAGUGACAGCCAGAUCCUAUCGACUCUGCUAAAUAAUCUCAGCAAAUUAGCCUUUAACGAUACUUGUACAAAUAGAGUAUUUUCUGUGAAUGAAUGCGGCUGGAGCACCAGAUGAUGAGCUCAGAUCAGGGGCUGUCAUGGAGGUGAUGAAGUGGAAGGUGAAAAUUAUGGAAUUGUUAAAAAUGUAGAAAGUCAUGCAGAAUUUAGUGUUAAAUGUGAACCAAUUCCUGCUUUUAAGGUGAGCAUACCCAAAGCAUAGGGCAGUGUUUACAUUCAGCUCUGUGGGUCCACAUGUGUGAUUAUGAACAUAUUUAGCAAACAGCUCCCUGUCUCCAACCAGAGUUUGCAAACAGGAAAAGUAGCAUGGCAAGAAGAUUAUAAAUCAGUACUUUGCAGUGAGAGGUCACAGUCACAAAAUCAGCAAAGCAUGUUCUAGCUGCCACCCAACUUCCCUCCUCUGCCAAUAAGAAAAAAAAAAAUCCAACAAGGAACUGUUGAAUACUCUGAAUACAUUUAGGUUUUUCUCCCUUGGCCUGUCCUCGUAAAAUUUCAUUAAGCAGCUGCUGCUUCCCGCCACCCAUCUCCUUGUGGAUGGGAGUGUGGAUUUGGGGGGUGGGGAUGGGGUGGAGGCAACUUUGAAUUUGGUUCCUUUGCAAUAUAUAUGUUGUACAGGGGAAAUUUUCAACAGAAAAUAUGUCAAUAAUUAUGACUAGAGGUGAGAUAGAAAGGAUGUGCCCUUCAAAACUAAAUGUGCAUGCAUGACCCAAGCAGGGGAAACCCUGCUUCCUGCCCUCUUGUCUGACUGAAAGAAGGGCUGGGGCUGUAAUUCUGCCUAUUUUGCAUAAGGCCCUGGGUUCAACCCAUGCACUGUAAAUAAACAAGAAGAUUUGGGUGAGGUAAACUUAGAGCUCUCUGAGCUAGUAAAUGGCUAUUUUAGAUAUGAAAAUAAAAAUUAGUCAGGUACACAAGUCCCCACUUCAGAACCACUUACCAGAAAACACACACAGCGGAGACUUCAUCAGAGAAGACUUCAUCGGACUUACAUUAGGUGCAUUCUAACCUGAAGCCCUUCUUGCUUCUCAGAUUUGGAACAAGAUGAAAAUAAACCCCUUCAACCCACACAAGCAUGUUAUAAACAGCUGUAGAUUUUUCAGGGAAAGAGAUGUUGAAGAAAGGGGUUGGGGGAAUGGGAGCAAUAGACUCUGGGGUCCCUCUAUUCACUCCAUGCCAGGCCAAACCCCCGGGCACCUCAUGGUUUCUUUCCAUAGCUGCCAGUGUUCUGCUGCGGCCUUCACAGUCCGUAGCUGUGGGGGCAUGGGCAGAUAUUGACGUUUCCAGUCUGUCAUUGUUUUUCUCACAAAGGACACUGGAGUUGUACAGACCCCCAGAGUCCACUUUCCCUCAGUGUUUCAUGCACUGUAGUAGGAAGGGGACACCCUGGAAAACACAAAGGUAGUGAUGUCCAGGGAGAGCCCCUGUAAGGUGGCCUAGCAGACACAGGCAAGCUCCUUCUGAGGACCCACCCUAGGUGGGGAGAGAAAGGCACGCAGGCACAGGGUUGAGCUGUGCUACUGAGUCUCAAUGUAGUGUCCAAGUUUUGAGACCUCAGCAAACAGGACUCUUCUGCUAGACUCAGCCAUGAGAGCUGUGCCUGGGGCCUGCUGGCAUUAGUACCCAAGACAGCCUGGACUGCUGCCAGCUGAGGCCCAGACAUGGCUUUAUUGCUAUGACUAGAGCCCAAAUAAGCUCCAGAUAGUGGCCUAGAGGUCUUUCGCCUGGGGUCUGGGUAGCAGCAGUUUAGUGAGAAUGUGGGUAUUUGGGUCCCUAGAGUGGUCCUCUCAGAGACCCCGCUAGCUUCAAUAGCUUGGUGACCUUGUGGGCUCUGGGGAAGGAUAGGUUCCUUCUGGACAAACAAAAGGAAACACACUUAGCUUCUAGAACACACACAAGGUUCUAGAAAAUUCCACUACAGAGUUGUGCUUUUGUAGCCAAGUAAAGCCUUCGCUGCUGUCCAGGGGUGGUGAGCAAGGUUGGGGUGCCCUAUGACCCAUCUCAGCCAUUGGUUAAUUCUUUGCCAAUCUCUCCCCCAGCCAGGCAUCCUGGUGUACUCUUGGGAGUUGAGCCUUCUCUGCCUAGACCUGAAGAGGCAGAGCUGUGGGCCUAAAAGUGGGGAGAAGGUUGCAGGAUAUUUGAUGACCUAGAGGGAGGGCCAGAUGGGCAAAGAAAUGGGGGACACCAGAGCCACCUUGAUACAGGCUUGAGUGUGAGGCUUGGGUGGGUAUGCUGGCCUAAGUUCUGCAGGGAAGGGUGUCUGCAGCCUGCUCAGCCUUGGCCGAUCCACCUGCUCGGGGAAGCUGGGCUCAGUGUGAGUCAGCCAAACCCCUGGGAUUCUCAUUUGGUCCUACUAAUUGAACUCCAGGCCUCAGGAUGGCUCCUGGGCUCCUCAGUGUACCUCAGCCUGGCAUUCAAAAGACCCAACCAGGGGCUCACGGGCCAGGCCAUGUUUAGCAUCACGUUCACCCGAAGAAUAUUUUAGGUGCUGCCUGGAAGGAGAGCUCUAGGCUCUGUUGUCGGCUGUCACAUGGUAAAAGUGGAGUGGCAGCUUCCCAGGCCUGACCCAGAUGCCUGGAGGCUGCACCAGCGCUUUGGGGCCACCCAGCCGGUACUGGGAAUGUGUUGGGAAGGCUUUGGUGGCGUAAGCUCACUUCCAUCAGCCCAGCCUCUUCUCUGAGAUGGCCCAGUGUGAUAGUCAGACUGCUGAGAGAGCAAUCUUUGGGGACAGGUUAACCCUAUGAAGCCCUUGGGUGCUCGGUGGCCUGGUGGGACACCAGUAGAAAUCUCCAAGGUCAAAUGUCUUGGGGAUGACAUUGCUAUGGAUUUCUUCUUUCCCAGAUCUUAGUGGCCAGACCUCAAGGGGGUGUGUGGACAUUCACAACCCCCCUUGUGACUUUGUCCCAUUAGCUAUAAAUGCCCAGUGGCCCUUCCCUAAGACCUCACCCUCCAAGGGUCAGCCAUGGAACCAGCCACUCACCUAGGUAUUUCCAUCCCAGCCUCCAAGGCAGCUGACUUUCUCCCAUAAUGCAGGAAGGGAGGCCCUGAUGGAUCUCUUCUCUCUGCUCAUCAACAAGGGACAGGAAUGAAUAUUUGGUGUUUGGGGAAAACGGGGCAGGCCCCUGUGAGUUCCUGCUUUAGGGCAUCUCAGUGUGAUCAUUUCUGGAGCCUGCUGGGGGCAGGGGGCUGUCUCAGAUGCCUGGUUCCCUGCACUUGGACUGAGUGAGGCAUGUCUGUAGGAAACUCUGCCUAGAAACACGUGUAGCGAGUUGUGGCAAAGAUACCGAGGAUCCUGGGAGACUGUGCCUAGCACCACACACCCUCGGAAGGUUCACUUGUCUGAAGUUUGCUUUAACUUUCUGCAUUUUUUUCCUUUUCAGUUUUGGCUCUUGGUGCCUCCGAGAGCCUCUACCUCCUGCCAGUUGGUUGGUUACCGCAGGGAAAAUGAGGGACUUUUGGGGGCAGAUGUGUUUCCAUUCCGCUAUCAUAAUGCCCCUAAAAAUCCUUAUUGCUCUUGCAGUAUUCCUCGGGGGUCCCUGGGCCAGCAACUCACAGAAGAGAAAGUGUUCCCUGAGCCCCCUGCCCCAGCUCCUCAGGUUCUGGGGUAGACCUCCCCUCGCCGUGCUCAAAACCCGUGGAAAAUAAAAAGAUGCCGUGUGAGGCCACUUGCUAAACGUGCUUUUGCCCUCCAGGGGUAAAAUGAUGGUGCUCAGGCCUGGGAAAAGGCUGGCUAUGGCUGCCAUCCACCUCAGCUCCUGGGGAUGUAGGGAGGCGGCAAAAGUGAGGAGAAGCAGAGUUACCAGUUUGGCAGGCCAGGGCCCUCCAGGGCUUCUAGGAUCUUCACUGGGGGCGGGGCGGGGCUGGGAAGUCUUCGCCUGCCAGUUCCCAGAAACUGGACUCUUUCCCCACGCUGCCUCAGUUUCUCAUCUUGCCAGCCAAGGGCCUAUACUCCCUGAACUAGCCUCAGAGUUUCUUGGACAUAGCUUGAAGGAAUGGGAGGUCAGUGCCUACAGUAUUAAUUAGUAUUGACACUCAUGUUUACUAAUACAUGCAAAUGACUCAGACAGGAGAGGUUAGAAGCCACAGCUCAGCUGCAAGCAUGGGUUUUUGGAAGCAGCCUGUCUGCUUAGCCAUAUCCUCCCUAAGCACUGGGAUUCUCGGUACCUCACACCUGAAACCCAUGGCAUAGAGCAGAAGUUUCUCCAAGUCUCUUAACAUAUCCACUAGGUGAUUUUAAGUGAAUUGUGUCUAAAGUUAUGAAUUAUGCUAAUAGGCAUUUCUUUGCACAGUAAAUGUUUAGUUAUGGCAGCUGGUUGGUUUCCACUUAGGGUGGGGAUAUUUCACAUGAAUUUAUAUUUUUAAAAAAAUGAGAGGAUUUUUCUCACCCCCCUCCUUUUUUUAGACAGGGUCUCACUAUGUAGCUUAAGCUGGCCUGGACCUUGAUAUAUAGACCAGACUAGGCUCAAACUCACAGUGAUCUGCUGCCUACUUCUGCCUCCCUGGCUGGAGUGGGUUUCUUGACAGAAAGCUGUGAAGCAAGCCCGAGGUGAAUCCAGCUCCAUGGUCUGUACAGUGUCCUAGGUCAACUUGUAAAACGCCUGUUUCCUAGGGGUGGUGAGGGUGCACAGAGAGGUAAUUCAAACUCACCACGACUCCAGCUGUGACAAAACUGGUGUCCUGUGACCCCGUGAGGUAGAGCCACCUUCCAGCUCCCUGUCCCCAGGGGCCACUCCAUGCAGACUCAUCCGUGGCUCUGGUUUGUCUCACUCCCGGGUGACGUAACUCCUUCCUUGUUUGGCUCCUCUGUGAACUUGUUUUCUCUGGGAAAUGGGAAGACUCAAACCUCCUGGACAUGCCACCAGGUGGUCAAGGCACCACCACACAGAGCUUUCAUGGACAGGGCACCAGGAUAGGCAGGGGCACCAUGCUGCUCUUGGCCUUGAAGGGUGCCAGUUCAAAGGGACAGAGUAUGCUGAGCUGGGCUCAAGUGCCAGCUCCCAGCCAAUCCCCCCGGGGUGGUGAGGAGGGAAACAGGCCUCAGCAAGGGGCCAGCUUUGGUUGCACUUUAUGCUGUGUCAUGGGGUGGGAGUGCCAGAGAGGGCUGGCCGGCCAGCUGGGGCAGGUACAGAGGCCAGCAGACAGCUCCAGCCCAGCUGCCAGAGCACACUCUCCCCAUCCCCAGCCUGCCAGGAUAGGGCAGGGCCCUAGGGGCACCCUUUACACACCUUUCCACCCACACAUUGGGGAGAACUUUUAGGACUUUUUUAUUUUUUUUUGAGACAGGGUUUCACACUGUAGCCUAGAUUGGCCUUGAACUUGCAGAAACCCCAGUGCUCUGGCCUCUGUAGGCGUGACCUGCAGCACCAUGGCUUGCCACUAAAACAAGUUCAUGUGUCUCUCCGUCUCUGUCUCUGUUUCUCUGUGUGUGCACCUGUCUCUCUCUGUCUCUGUGUGUGCACCUGUCUCUCUGUCUCUCUGUCUCUGUGUGUGUACCUGUCUCUCUGUCUCUGUCUGUGUGUGCACCUGUCUCUCUCUGUCUCUGUCUCUCUGUGUAUGCACCUGUCUCUGUCUCUCUGUCUCUGUCUCUCUGUGUCUCUCUGUCUCUGUCUCUCUGUGUGCACUUGUCUCUCUCUGUGUGUGCACCUGUCUCUCUCUGUCUCUCUGUCUCUGUCUCUCUCUGUCUCCCCCCGCCCCCAACUUGGAACUCUUUACACUUUUUUUAAGGUUGUGUCAUUGAACCUGGAGAUCCCUGACCGAGUGAGGCUGUCUGCAUACAAGCUCCAGGGAGUUUCCGUUCCUCCCCUCACCGCAGGACAGGGUUGUAGAGACGUGCCCUACACCAGGCUGCUUUAUGGGUUCUGGAGAUCCAACUGUUCUGUGUUUGAAUUUGGGCUCUUCUAAGGACUGGCUUUACAACCUCUAGCAAGUGACAAUGCUUUAUCCCUCAGUUUCCCUGGCUGUGUUAGAAAGACACACGGGGAGCAGUGGGAAUGAGGCAAACAGAUGUCCGUACAGACCGAGAACAGCACUGGACACAGUGUGUGCCGUGUGAGCCUUGGCUAAUACGUCAUAAUAAUAUAUACAACUUAUCGUUAGAAGUCAGCUGUAGUCCCUCGACAGGCUGGUGGAUGAUAUCGGGACAUUACAGAGUCUCUCCUCAUGACGAAUAUUACACAAGAGCCUCUCUACCCCUUAGGUGGGCCUCAUCAGCUGGAGGAUGAGAUGGGGACUCAGACCUCUGCAGAGAUGUGCUGGUAGCCACUCACCUGACAGGCAAGCCAUUGGAGCCUAGAUUUGGACUGGUCCCCAAAGGCCGGGGGUCCACACUUGGGCUGACACUUCCGAUGCCAAGUUUCUAAGGGAAACAAAAUUCUACCGCAAAGACAGUAAAGCAGCAGAGAGCCACUGAGGACAGAAGCUCCACAGAGAGAGGGACCAUCCCACCGGCACCACACUGCCCAGCGCUGCUAUGUUUUGGCUUCAGGUAAAGUUGCCAGGAGUCUCAGUGGGAUAUAGCAAAGCCAAGGUUGGGAAAGGCUUGGUUCUGCUCAAGAGUCCCUCUCUGCUUGAUAACCUCCCUGCUGCCAGUCAGGUAUGCUCCAGAGAGGGGCUGAAGGAAACAGACGCCGCUUGCGUUUCUGCCUUUCACAGUCAUGUAACAAUCAAACAGCCUGAAACCGUUCCAAACAGGCGAGUAAAGCAACAUGUUAUUUGGAGUGAUUGCUUAAUUUAUUGAGCCACCACUGGACCUGUAAUGAAGUAAAGUCCUCAUAGCCCAAAGUUUUCUCUGCCUCCGUCCUCUGUUAUGAAGGAUAUUUUCCGUGAGUUUCUCUGGAAUUUUUGCCUCUUUUUUUUUUUUUUUUUUAAGUGUGUCAAGCUGAUGUUGAUAAUAGAUGUAAGCAUUUGAUGGGGGCUUGUGUGCCCCUGGUCUUGAUAUACAUGAUCUAAUCCACCCAUUUUCCUACUGAAGUAACUUAUUAAUCCCUAUUUUACAGAUGGACAAGCAUAAUGAGUGAGGGUUUGCUGGAGGGGGGCUGUCCAAAACGGUAGCUGCCAGCCACUUGUGAUGAUUUGUGUUUAAAUUAGGUACAUUUAAAUACAUUUAGCCAAGUGUGGGGUUACAUGCUUGUAUCCAAACACUCAGGAAACUGAGGCAAGAGGAUUGAGGGGUUGAAGAUGGCUUGGGCUACAUAGUGAGUUCCAGGCCAGCCUGGGCUACAGAGUGAUACCCUGCCUUUAAAAUAAAAUUUUAUAAUGGAUUCCCUAGAGUGUCCUAGAGUCAAUUCAAAUGCUCAGUGCCCUGAGUAGGCUCACAAAUCUCGAUCACUGUGAUGGGUGGAGAAAGUUCUGGAGCUGUCUGCAGGCCCAGAGACUUCACAGCUGUAAUGAGCCAGCCAGCACCGAGACCAAGCACAUGGCUCAGAUGGCAGAGCUUCCCUGACCUUGCCCUUCCUUCUCUGCUGAGACAUCAUAGCACUGACCACAGGGUUUCAUGUAGAUCAGGCUGACCUUAAACUCAUUCUGUAGCCAGGAAUGACUUCAAACUUCUGUGUGCAUGUCCACACGAGUUCCCAUGUGUGUUGGUUCAUAUGUAUGUGUGUGCACAUGCUGAGGCCUGAGGUUGAUGUCUGCUGUCUACCUUAUAUACAGAGAGGGGUCUCUCUCUGCUGGCUUGCUGUGGGGAUCUCCUGACUAUGUCUCCCAAGUACUGGGAUUACAGGUGACCUGCCGGGCAUUUCCAUGGGUUCUAGGAAUCAAAACUUAGGCCUUUGUGCUUUGCAGCAAACACUUUAUGCACCAAGCCAUUUCACCCGUCCCAACCUUGAACUUUUGAGCCUCCACCUCCUAAGCAGGAUCCUAGGAAUGCCUCACCACACUUGUGUUACGCAGCAUUGGGGCAGAUCCAGCCCUCGUGCAUGAUAGGCUCUCCUGACUGCACCACACCCCAGCCCCACACUGACACUGCUUAUGGAAGUGUUCCCCUCAGCAAACACAAGCUAAGUGUGCACUAUUUUGUGAUUUCUAAUGAAACAGUGGGUUGAGACAAUGUCCAGCAGCUGCUAGGACACUAGAGAAGGGAAGCCAGAUGUCAUUUUUGAAUGGAAUGUGAAACCACCCACUACAUAGUCCUACUAAAAUAAAUAAAACACAAAUCUAAAGGAGCUUCCGAAUCUGAGUACCAGUAUAUGAGAAAUAUGGGAGUUGAACAUGAGGUCAAAAAUAAGCAAAAUCCAAACUCCAGUUAACCAUAAGAUGGUCCAAGUUCUUCAACAACCAAAUGGGGAGUGAAUUGUAUGUCGAUUAGGGGAGAAGUAACCAGCAUGACCUGUUGUGACGUUUGAGCCUUCUCUAGAUUCUGAUUUCAUGCAACUGUGAAGAAAGCACUCAUGAGGCCCCAGGAACAUUGAAGGAGGACCAGGUUUUCACUAGUGUUAAAGCAUUACUGUUCAUUUUAAUGGGUGAUGGUGGCAAAGCAGUUUUUCCUGUUGGAGUCUGAUAUAUACUGGUGUUUGUAGUUUGCUUCGAGAUAGGCUGGAUGGUAUAUAUGCAUGGAACAAGACUAUUGAGUUCAUCCUCUCAUCCCACUCCUACGUGUGUGCUGGAAGCUCUUAACAGCAGUAGUGAGAGAUAUGGCCCAGUUGGUGAGGAACUUGCUUGUUGCAUUAACAUUAGGAUCUGAGUUUGGAUCCCCAGCACUUGUGGAAAAAGCCAGGCACUGUAACAUGUGCCUGUGACAUCAGUGCAUGGGCUGAGAGGCAGGAGGAUCCCUGGGACUCACUGGGCAGCCAGUCUAGCUGAAUCAGCAAAUUCAGGUUCACUGGGAGUCCCUGCCUCAAAAAUAAGGUGAGACAUGGAACAUAUACCUCUAGUCUCCACAAGCAUUCACAUCUACAUAUACCACACACAAAAAUGGGAAAAUCAUUUUUUUUUUCUGACUUCUCAAGGAUAUCAGAUUGGUUCCUGUAUUAGUUAGGGUUCCUUAGGGGAACAGAACUUUGUGUGUGUGUGUGUAUGUGUGUGUGUGUGUAUGUGUGUGUGUGUGUGUGUGUGUGUGUGUGUGUGUUCCAUAAGUUAUCAUUUUAACUAUAUAUAAUAAUUAUAUAUACAUAUAUACAUACACCCAUAUAUAUAAAGGAAACUUACUAGAAUGAUUUACAGGCUGUGGUCCAGCUAGUCCAACAAUGUCUGUGUACCAAAAAGGCCCAGCAGUUGUUCAGUCCAUGAGGCUGGUGUCUCCUCUGGUCUUCAGUAGACUCUGAAAUCCACAAGUAGGCUAAUGCUGCUGAAGGAAUGGACUUGCCAGUGAGAGGAAGCAGGCAAAGAGCAAGCCAGCGUCCCUCUUCCAUGUCCUUUAUAUAGGCUGCCAGUAGAAGGCGUGGGCCAGACUAAAGGUGGAACAUCUCACCUCAAAAGAUUUGAAUUAAAGGUUCAUCUUCUCACCUCAGAUAUACAGAUUAGAAGUGGGUCUUCCUAUUUCAAAUGAUUUUAUUAAGAAAAAAUUUCUUACAGGUGUUUCCAGAUACUUGGGUUUUAGUUAAUUCCAGUUGUAGUCCAGUUGACAACCAAGAACAGCCAUCACAGCUCCCCACUGCACUACUGUGUCUCCAGGUGAGCCUGGGGAACAGGCUUAGGAUACAUCUUCAAGCAUCCUGACUCAUCUCCAUGGCAACUAGUAAGGACCAGCAUUCAGAAGCCUACACUAGCGUCAUGCCAGGCUGCCAAUAUCAAUGUCAGGACAUGAUGUUGUUCCCUUUGGAGCCUCCCCCAGAUGGAUUUUCACAGCACCACCCUACUUGCCACACCCUUCUCUCUGGACCUUCCUGCAUGGUCACCAAGAAAGGAGUGGCCAAGUGGGGUGGGGGCAGUCCCUGAAUCAUGUGUGUUCAGUUCUGACCCUGCCCUUAGUGCCAGGGCCUUUGCACCUUUCUGGACCUCUUCUGUAAAGUGAAUAGAAUAUAAAGGGGCCAGAUCAGGGAUGGGGAGAUGGCUCAGCAAGCUCAAACACUUGCUGCACAAGCACGAAGACCUGGGUUUAAAUCCCCAGAGCUCAUGUAAAACUGAAUACAGUAGAGAACACAUCUGUAAUCCCAACGCUCCUCCAGGGUAAAUGGGAGGCAGGGGGCUAGCUAGCCCGGUGUCCUCAGAAGAAAACAAAGAGCCCCUGUUUCAAACAAGGUGAAAGGCAAGGACUGACACCCAGGGUUAUCUUAUCUCCACUUAUACAACAUGGCAUUUGUGCACCUGUACACACACACACACACACACACACACACACACACACACACAUACACACACACAUAACCCCAGCAAACUCAGUAGAUCUCUAUCAAGUGAACAAUGUCUAUGAGGACCUCAUCUCCACCUGGUGGAGCCAGAUUCAGGGGUGAAGGAUAAUCUUGAUGAAUUUCCAAACACCCUUGAAAGAUGUGAGGCCAGAUUGUCCUCUCACACCCAAUUUAAACAAACAGCCUGGUUCCUUUGGGGCAAGCGUAACUCCUGACCCUGCUUCUCAUGGUCACUGCUCCCCUGCUGUGCCCGGGCAUAGGACACCUUCCCUGCUGCUCUCACCUGCUCAGGGCCACCCUGGAGCCCAUGGUCCCCCUCUAUGCCUGGCCACCUGCGUACUGAUAAAGCAGGAAGUUAGUGCUACCAAGAGGCCAAAGAUCUUCCUAACUCGAUUUUUAAAAUGAAAAACGUAGCCCAUAGAGUUCAAGUCCCCAUCUGACGCACAGAGCAGGUCAGCAGCAGGGAGAAAUUGUUCCCUAUAACAAAGAAAGCUGACUUUUUAUUUUUCUUUUAAGACAUGGUCUCAUGUACCCCAGGCUAGCCUCAGACUUGCUGUGUAGCUGAGGAUAACCUUGAAUUUUCGAUCCUCCUGAUUCCAUUUUUAGAGUGCCAGGCCAGGGUUACAGAUAUGUGCCACCGCUCCUAGUUUAUGCGAUGCUGGAGAUAGAAUCCAGGCUUCAUACAUGAAAAGCAAACGUACACUAGCUGCUACACCUCCAGUCAUGAAACAGACUAGUUCCAUGUUCUAGUUUUUGUUGGUUUUGUUUUAGUUGUGCUCUUCUGUUGUUGGGGUUUUUUUGGGGGGAGGGUGUUUUGGUUUGGGUGUGUGUGUGUGUGUGUGUGUGUGUGUGUGUGUGUGUGUUGCUAGGAAUUCAUGUAACCUAACCUGGCCUUGACAAUGCUCUGUAGCCAAGCCUGGCCUUGAACUCCAGAUCCUACUUCAACCUCCUAAGUGCUGGGAUUAUAUGCAUGAGUCCCACACCUGGCUAGAAGUUAGCUUCAUUGCAUCCUGUCCUGGAGCAAGAUGAUGGGCAUGGCUUGCUCACCUUGGACUGAAGGGUUUGGGGUCCUGAGAAAUUCAGGUGGUAAAUCAGAAAAGCCUAGCUGUCUCCCACUCCAUCCACAUUCAAUCCCACAGACAUGGCUAAAGGAGUGUGUUCUAAGAAGCAAACUCUGGGGAUGAAGCUAAUUGAGAUCAAUUUACAAGAUCCCUUCGAAUUUGGGGGCUUCAUGUGUGUGACACCCAUGGACCAUCCAUGUGUAACCUCCGUGGCCCCUCAGAUUGGUCCAUGGUCCAGCAUCCUUCUUCACGGCCAUUCCGUCUGCUAUUACCCAAAAGCUAAACUGCUCUCUCUGCUCUAAAAAAGCAGCACCCUGACUUGUUUACCAGCUAAGUAAGUUCUCAUUUUCCCAUUACUUUAGGACAAACUAGAGACUUUGCAGGUCCAAGGCUUGGACCUGGCUCCCUUGAGACUCCAACAGGGUAAGGAUCACCUGUACCCGUACCCUUCCUUCCUCAUUUUCGGUUCUUAGCUCCCCUCCCAGUCCUUCCAGUAUCAGUAUAGUUCUAAUUGAAGAUCUGCCGGCCUGGUCACCUAGUUAUCAACCCCUCGGGGCUGGGGAACGGCCCAGCUGGUAGAGUGCUUGCUACUUAAGUAGGAACACAUAAAAAGCUGAGCAUGGUGGCACACUUACAAUCCUAGAGCUAAGGAGGCAGAGACAGAUGACUCUGGCCAGGGGCUCCCUGGCCAGCCAGGCUAGGCUAAUCAGUAAGCUCAAGUCCCCAGUGCAAGACCCUGUCUCAAAAAGUAGCUUUGGGAAAUGACACGUGUGCCUGGCCUCUGACCUACACACGUGUACACACACACAUAUACACAUAUGAACUGAGUAUCUAGUCUCCCCCAGCCUUGUCAGCCAUUUCCCCAGACUGUCAAUCCAAGGGGCCGACCAGUCUCUGAUGCUCACUUCUGUUUCACAGCUCCUGGAUGGUGACAUGUGGAUGACAUUCUAGAGUCAUCAAAAGGUCCCACCAAUACCACCCUCACUGCUCCAUCUGAGUCAGAGAAACCCUCUACACCCACCAGGGUCUCCUGUCCUGAUUUCUGUCUGGCAGGUCACCCUGAUAUCACAAGAUGGAAGAUGAUCCCAGAGAAAAGACAAGAUCUGAUAGGACAUCUGAGGUCUGAUUUGUCUUCAGUGAUUAUACCUCAUUUGUCUACCCCUCUUAGCUCCGUUCAGAUCCCUACCCCAGCACUCACUUGGUGUUUGGGGGACCAUGAGCCUCAGAGUUGAUGUGAAGAUAGCUCGCUGGCUUUUGCAGUAAUCAACACUGAAAGUGUUCAUUCCUUGCCUCCCCGCCAAGGUAAUAAUAAAACUCACAGCCUCAUUACUUGCUUGUUAGCUAA
Peromyscus californicus insignis is the source of this 14917-nucleotide long non-coding RNA. RefSeq lists it as uncharacterized. The record is from RefSeq and is a predicted model, not a curated record. The transcript is spliced from 2 exons. Lineage: Eukaryota; Metazoa; Chordata; Mammalia; Rodentia; Cricetidae.